GACCUAAUAGCACAACUGGUUAGUGCAUCUGCUGAAAAUGAGUAAUGAACAAUAUUAAGCAGAAGACCCGGUUCAAUUCGGGGUUGGGUCA
Mycena metata is the source of this 91-nucleotide non-coding RNA. Lineage: Eukaryota; Fungi; Basidiomycota; Agaricomycetes; Agaricales; Mycenaceae. The record is from the annotation of a GenBank genome assembly.